Molecule: ribosomal RNA, 1244 nt
Filed under: metagenome
Description: bacterial LSU rRNA
Rfam family: Bacterial large subunit ribosomal RNA
Source: RNAcentral
UGAAUACGAGACGCUACGGCGUCGAAGCAGUCUAUGUCAUACUUCCAAGAAAAGCUUGCACUGUCAUAAACAAAUAAUGCCUGUACCAUAACCGACACAGGUGGGUAGGUAGAGUAUACUAAGGGGCGCGAGAUAACUCUCUCUAAGGAACUCGGCAAAAUGACUCCGUAACUUCGGGAGAAGGAGUGCCUUAUUUAUAAGGUUGCAAUAACAAGAUCCAAGCAACUGUUUAUCAAAAACACAGGUCUCCGCUAAGUCGUAAGACGAUGUAUGGGGGCUGACGCCUGCCCAGUGCCAGAAGGUUAAAGAAGUUGGUUAGCAUUAGCGAAGCUGAUAACUGAAGCCCUGGUGAACGGCGGCCGUAACGAUAACGGUCCUAAGGUAGCGAAAUUCCUUGUCGGGUAAGUUCCGACCCGCACGAAAGGCGUAAUGAUUUGGAUACUGUCUCAGAGAGGGGCUCGGUGAAAUAGACUUGUCUGUGAAGAUGCGGACUACCUGCACCAGGACAGAAAGACCCUAUGAAGCUUUACUGUAACUUGAAAUUGAAAUUGGACUUUAUUUGCGCAGUAUAGGUGGGAGGCAUUGAUAAUAUUCUUGCGGGAAUGUUGGAGCCAUCAGUGAGAUACCACUCUUGUAAUGUUAGAUUUCUAACUUUGGAUCAUUAUCUGGUCAAAGGACAGUUUCAGGCGGGCAGUUUGACUGGGGCGGUCGCCUCCUAAAUGGUAACGGAGGCGCACAAAGGUUUCCUCUGAACGGGUAGAAAUCGUAUCUAGAGUGUAAAGGCAUAAGGAAGCUUGACUGUGAGACCUACAAGUCGAGCAGGGACGAAAGUCGGUCUUAGUGAUCUGACGGUGCUGAGUGGAAAGGCCGUCACUCAACGGAUAAAAGUUACUCUAGGAUAACAGGCUGAUCUCCCCCAAGAGUUCACAUCGACGGGGAGGUUUGGCACCUCGACGUCGGCUCAUCGCAUCCUGGGGCGGUAGUACGUCCCAAGGGUUGGGCUGUUCGCCCAUGAAAGCGGUACGCGAGCUGGGUUCAGAACGUCGUGAGACAGUUCGGUCCAUAUCCGGUGUAGGCGUUAGAAUAUUGAGAGGAGCCUUCUUUAGUACGAGAGGACCGAGAAGGACAUACCUCUGGUGUACCAGUUAUCGUGCCAACGGUAAACGCUGGGUAGCUAUGUAUGGAGAGGAUAACCGCUGAAAGCAUCUAAGUGGGAAGCCCACCUCAAGAUAAGUAUUCUCAUC